GAGCUAGGGAAGAUGACAAGUCCGGAUCUGAUAGGUUUGCUUCAGUAUAGUUGCAAUCGGUGGAUGAAGAUGGAAAGCAAAUGAAGAUGGAGCCGUGGAGAUGACAAGCAAAAAUUUGCAGUCUAUGGAAUUGCUAGAGGCGGUUUAAUCAAUCGACUGUUGCUUCAGUGCGAGAGUCUUCCUGCGUGAAGACUAUGGAUUUGCAAG
RNAcentral lists this long non-coding RNA (207 nucleotides) under Helianthus annuus (common sunflower). RNAcentral's name for it is "sRNA HanXRQr2_Chr03g0090591". The record is from RNAcentral. Lineage: Eukaryota; Viridiplantae; Streptophyta; Magnoliopsida; Asterales; Asteraceae.